GACGAACGCUGGCGGCGUGCUUAACACAUGCAAGUGGAGCGACGAACCAGGGCUUGCCCUGGGGCAGAGCCGCGAACGGGUGAGUAACACGUGGGUAACCUGCCCUGAUGAUUGGGACAACCCGAGGAAACUCAGGCUAAUACCAAAUGUGCUCAUCGGCCUCAAGGCCGAUGAGGAAAGGUAGCCUCGGCUUCCGCAUCAGGAUGGGCCCGCGGCCCAUUAGCUUGUUGGUGAGGUAACGGCUCACCAAGGCUUCGAUGGGUAGCUGGUCUGAGAGGACGAUCAGCCACACUGGGACUGAGACACGGCCCAGACUCCUACGGGAGGCUG
RNAcentral lists this ribosomal RNA (330 nucleotides) under uncultured Actinomycetes bacterium. Its description in RNAcentral is "bacterial SSU rRNA". It matches the Rfam family "Bacterial small subunit ribosomal RNA", at positions 28 to 351 of the family's 1533-position model. Lineage: Bacteria; Bacillati; Actinomycetota; Actinomycetes. The record is from RNAcentral.